CAAGAUAGUGAUAUUAAGCAAAACCCAAAAAAGCAGUCUCAGUUCGGAUUGAAGGCUGAAAUUCGCCUUCAUGAAGCCGGAAUUGCUAGUAAUGGCAGGUCAGCAUACUGCCGCGAAUACGUUCCCGGGCCUUGUACACACCGCCCGUCACACCAUGAGAGUUGGGAAUACCCGAAGCCUGUGAGCUAACUUUUAGAGGCAGCAGUCGAAGGUAGAAUCAAUGAUUGGGGUGAAGUCGUAACAAGGUAUC
Molecule: ribosomal RNA, 250 nt
Filed under: uncultured bacterium
Lineage: Bacteria
Description: partial 16S ribosomal RNA
Rfam family: Bacterial small subunit ribosomal RNA
Source: RNAcentral